RNAcentral lists this ribosomal RNA (412 nucleotides) under uncultured bacterium. RNAcentral's name for it is "bacterial SSU rRNA". It matches the Rfam family "Bacterial small subunit ribosomal RNA", at positions 355 to 776 of the family's 1533-position model. The record is from RNAcentral.
UGGGGAAUCUUGCGCAAUGGGCGAAAGCCUGACGCAGCGACACCGCGUGGGGGAUGAAGGCCUUUCAGGUCGUAAACCCCUUUCGGCAGGGACGAAGCGAUCUCGUGACGGUACCUGCAGAAGAAGCCUCGGCUAACUACGUGCCAGCAGCCGCGGUAACACGUAGGAGGCGAGCGUUGUCCGGAAUCAUUGGGCGUAAAGAGCGCGCAGGCGGCUUGGCAAGUCGGGUGUGAAAUCCCGGGGCUCAACCCCGGGACUGCAUUCGAUACUGUCAGGCUAGAGGUAGGUAGGGGAGAUCGGAAUUCCUGGUGUAGCGGUGAAAUGCGCAGAUAUCAGGAGGAACACCGGUGGCGAAGGCGGAUCUCUGGGCCUUACCUGACGCUCAGGCGCGAAAGCUAGGGGAGCGAACAGG